CCUACGGGAGGCUGCAGUGAGGAAUAUUGGUCAAUGGGCGUAAGCCUGAACCAGCCAAGUCGCGUGAGGGAUGAAGGUUCUAUGGAUCGUAAACCUCUUUUAUAAGGGAAUAAAGUGUGGGACGUGUCCUAUUUUGUAUGUACCUUAUGAAUAAGGAUCGGCUAACUCCGUGCCAGCAGCCGCGGUAAUACGGAGGAUCCGAGCGUUAUCCGGAUUUAUUGGGUUUAAAGGGUGCGGUGGCAGCCUUUUAAGUCAACGGUGAAAGUCUGUGGCCCAACCAUAGAAUUGCCGUUGAAACUGGGGGGCUUGAGUAUGUGUGAGGCAGGCGGAAUGCGUGGGGUAGCGGUGAAAUGCUUAGAUAUCACGCAGAACCCCGAUUGCGAAGGCAGCCUGCCAAGCCAUGACUGACGCUGAUGCACGAAAGCGUGGGGAUCAAACAGGAUUAGAUACCCCGGUAGUC
RNAcentral lists this ribosomal RNA (460 nucleotides) under uncultured bacterium. RNAcentral describes it as "partial 16S ribosomal RNA". It matches the Rfam family "Bacterial small subunit ribosomal RNA", at positions 338 to 795 of the family's 1533-position model. The record is from RNAcentral.